AUUGAACGCUGGCGGUAGGCCUAACACAUGCAAGUCGAACGGCAGCACAGUAAGAGCUUGCUCUUACGGGUGGCGAGUGGCGGACGGGUGAGGAAUACAUCGGAAUCUACUUUUUCGUGGGGGAUAACGUAGGGAAACUUACGCUAAUACCGCAUACGACCUACGGGUGAAAGCAGGGGAUCUUCGGACCUUGCGCGAUUGAAUGAGCCGAUGUCGGAUUAGCUAGUUGGCGGGGUAAAGGCCCACCAAGGCGACGAUCCGUAACUGGUCUGAGAGGAUGAUCAGCCACACUGGAACUGAGACACGGUCCAGACUCCUACGGGAGGCAGCAGUGGGGAAUAUUGGACAAUGGGCGCAAGCCUGAUCCAGCCAUGCCGCGUGGGUGAAGAAGGCCUUCGGGUUGUAAAGCCCUUUUGUUGGGAAAGAAAAGCAGCAGGUUAAUACCCCGCUGUUCCGACGGUACCCAAAGAAUAAGCACCGGCUAACUUCGUG
This 492-nucleotide ribosomal RNA is filed under the name uncultured bacterium. RNAcentral describes it as "partial 16S ribosomal RNA". It matches the Rfam family "Bacterial small subunit ribosomal RNA", at positions 30 to 507 of the family's 1533-position model. The record is from RNAcentral.